RNAcentral lists this ribosomal RNA (228 nucleotides) under Triticum aestivum (bread wheat). RNAcentral's name for it is "partial small subunit ribosomal RNA". The record is from RNAcentral. Lineage: Eukaryota; Viridiplantae; Streptophyta; Magnoliopsida; Poales; Poaceae.
AUGAUUGCGGGCGUGCCGAUGCUGGUGUGGCCACUGUACCCGGAGCAGCGGAAGAACCGGGUGUUCCCGGAGAAUGGUGGAGGGGUACGACCACGAGGGGGAGGUGGUGGAUGCCGGCGAGGUGGAGAAGAAGGUGCGGUGGCUGAUGGAGUCCGACGGCCGGAGCGUGCUCCGGGAGCGCAUGCUGGCGGCCAUGCGAAGGGCCAAGGAGGCGUUGGUCGGACGUGA